AGGCACGUAGCUCAGUUGGUUAGAGCACCACCUUGACAUGGUGGGGGGUCGUUGGUUCGAAUCCAAUCGUGCCUACCA
This 78-nucleotide transfer RNA is filed under the name Pseudomonas aeruginosa. Its description in RNAcentral is "tRNA-Val(gac)". It matches the Rfam family "tRNA". From Rfam's summary of the family: Transfer RNA (tRNA) molecules are approximately 80 nucleotides in length. Their secondary structure includes four short double-helical elements and three loops (D, anti-codon, and T loops). The record is from RNAcentral. Lineage: Bacteria; Pseudomonadati; Pseudomonadota; Gammaproteobacteria; Pseudomonadales; Pseudomonadaceae.